UACGUAGGGGGCAAGCGUUGUCCGGAUUUAUUGGGCGUAAAGCGCACGCAGGCGGUGCGGUAAGUUUCGAGUGACAGGUGGUGGCUUAACUGCCACAGGACUCGGAAAACUGCCGCACUUGAGGGCUUGAGAGGGACGCGGAAUUCCAGGUGGAGCGGUGAAAUGCGUAGAUAUCUGGAGGAACACCGGUGGCGAAGGCGGCGUCCUGGACCAACACUGACACUGAUGAGCGAAAGCCAGGGGAGCAAACGGG
Molecule: ribosomal RNA, 253 nt
Filed under: uncultured bacterium
Lineage: Bacteria
Description: partial 16S ribosomal RNA
Rfam family: Bacterial small subunit ribosomal RNA
Source: RNAcentral